GGGGUACUCGAGUGGCGAACGGGUGAGUAACACGUGAGUAACCUGCCCUUGACUUCGGGAUAACUUCAGGAAACUGGGGCUAAUACCGGAUAGGAAUCCUUGCUGCAUGGUGGGGGUUGGAAAGCUUCGGCGGUUUUGGAUGGACUCGCGGCUUAUCAGCUUGUUGGUGGGGUAGUGGCUUACCAAGGCUUUGACGGGUAGCCGGCCUGAGAGGGCGACCGGCCACAUUGGGACUGAGAUACGGCCCAG
RNAcentral lists this ribosomal RNA (249 nucleotides) under uncultured Actinomycetales bacterium. RNAcentral describes it as "partial 16S ribosomal RNA". It matches the Rfam family "Bacterial small subunit ribosomal RNA", at positions 84 to 334 of the family's 1533-position model. Lineage: Bacteria; Bacillati; Actinomycetota; Actinomycetes; Actinomycetales. The record is from RNAcentral.